This 505-nucleotide ribosomal RNA is filed under the name uncultured bacterium. Its description in RNAcentral is "partial 16S ribosomal RNA". It matches the Rfam family "Bacterial small subunit ribosomal RNA", at positions 28 to 507 of the family's 1533-position model. The record is from RNAcentral.
GACGAACGCUGGCGGCGUGCCUAAUACAUGCAAGUAGAACGCACAGUUUAUACCGUAGCUUGCUACACCAUAGACUGUGAGUUGCGAACGGGUGAGUAACGCGUAGGUAACCUGCCUGGUAGCGGGGGAUAACUAUUGGAAACGAUAGCUAAUACCGCAUAAUAUUAAUUAUUGCAUGAUAAUUGAUUGAAAGAUGCAACUGCAUCACUACCAGAUGGACCUGCGUUGUAUUAGCUGGUAGGUGAGGUAACGGCUCACCUAGGCGACGAUACAUAGCCGACCUGAGAGGGUGAUCGGCCACACUGGGACUGAGACACGGCCCAGACUCCUACGGGAGGCAGCAGUAGGGAAUCUUCGGCAAUGGACGAAAGUCUGACCGAGCAACGCCGCGUGAGUGAAGAAGGUUUUCGGAUCGUAAAGCUCUGUUGUAAGAGAAGAACGGGUGUGAGAGUGGAAAGUUCACACUGUGACGGUAUCUUACCAGAAAGGGACGGCUAACUACGUG